AAGGGGAUUGCCUUAGUAGCGGCGAGUGAAGCGGCAAAAGCUCAAAUUUGAAAUCUGGCACCUUCGGUGUCCGAGUUGUAAUUUGAAGAUUGUAACCUUGGGGUUGGCUCUUGUCUAUGUUUCUUGGAACAGGACGUCACAGAGGGUGAGAAUCCCGUGCGAUGAGAUGCCCAAUCCUAUGUAAGGUGCUUUCGAAGAGUCGAGUUGUUUGGGAAUGCAGCUCUAAGUGGGUGGUAAAUUCCAUCUAAAGCUAAAUAUUGGCGAGAGACCGAUAGCGAACAAGUACAGUGAUGGAAAGAUGAAAAGAACUUUGAAAAGAGAGUGAAAAAGUACGUGAAAUUGUUGAAAGGGAAGGGUUUGAGAUCAGACUCGAUAUUUUGUGAGCCUUGCCUUCGUGGCGGGGUGACCCGCAGCUUAUCGGGCCAGCAUCGGUUUGGGCGGUAGGAUAAUGGCGUAGGAAUGUGACUUUGCUUCGGUGAAGUGUUAUAGCCUGCGUUGAUGCUGCCUGCCUAGACCGAGGACUGCGAUUUUAUCAAGGAUGCUGGCAUAAUGAUCCCAAACCGCCCGUCUUGAAACACGGACCAAAA
Molecule: ribosomal RNA, 587 nt
Filed under: Meyerozyma guilliermondii
Lineage: Eukaryota; Fungi; Ascomycota; Pichiomycetes; Serinales; Debaryomycetaceae
Description: eukaryotic LSU rRNA
Rfam family: Eukaryotic large subunit ribosomal RNA
Source: RNAcentral